UGCUGUGCUGCCGUGAGUGGAUGGAUGUC
RNAcentral lists this non-coding RNA (29 nucleotides) under Mus musculus (house mouse). Lineage: Eukaryota; Metazoa; Chordata; Mammalia; Rodentia; Muridae. The record is from RNAcentral.